AGGGAAGCGCUGGCUCGCCAUCGUCCUUCACUGCGCCCUGCGCGACUGCGCAGGGCGCGCGCAUGCGCAUCCCCUCAAGCCCGGGUCUCGGAGUGGGACUGGAGUUCCGGGCGACCGGAGUGUUCUUCGGUGUUAUAUCUAAAUUUGUCUGGGGACCUCCUUGAAAUUUCUAAGUAGACAGUUGUAUAAUCCGUGACUAUUGACAUUUGCUUUCUCCUUUGGAACAUUUAAAUUUUAUUCUGUUGACUAGAACUUGAUAGUGGACAUUCUGAGUUGUUUUUGACUAAGGCUGGCUCUCCUUGUGGUAGCAAGAUGGCUGCAUCUUCAUAUCCUCACACCACCGAAUUCAAUGGAAGAGUCUUACCAUUGCUUGCAGCAAGUCCUGCCAUUUACUCUUUUCUUAUUGGCCCCAAAUGAGUCACGUGCUCAUGUGUGGAUCAAUCCUGUGGCUAAGGAGAUGAAAUGAUCUGCCCCACUCAGGGCUGAGAAUGAGGUCUCACUUUAGCUGCGUCGCCAGAAUGGUGUUUCCAAGCAAAACUGUGUUGCUGGUGUGGAUGCCAGGCAAUAAACACACAAUUUCUGCUACAUGGAAAUUUCUCAUUUUUAUGAAAUACGGCUUGGAACAAAUAGUCACCCAGGACAGAGGUCCCGAACCCCUGGAGCAUGGACCGGUAUUCGUCUGUGGCCUGUUCCUAACUGAGCUGCACAGCAGGAGAUGGACGAAGGGGCCCUGAGCCAAGGAAUGCAGGCCACCUCCAGAAGCUGGAAAACGCAAGGAAAUGGAUUCCCCCAAGAGCCUCCAGAAGGAACACAACCAUGCCAACCUGUUUUAGACUUCUGAUCUCCUGAACUAGGCUGCCACACUCAUCUAGGGGCUGCGUCUACUAAUUGAUGCAUGCAGAACUCGUUACUGUUGAUGGAAGCAGAAACAACAAGGCUGAGUGCCUUCAAUACGUCAGAGUUUAGACACCCUCUGGCUCAACUUUAUUGGCCAGUCUUCAUUAGUCAUUGAAACACAAGUGGAAAGAAGAUAAAGAUCCCUGUUAUUUGAGAGCAAAUCUUCUGAAUAUCCAUUCCAUGAAACUCAGAUACCCUCUCUAGGAACACAAACCCCUGGUGUGAAUUUCACUUUCUGAGGAUUUGAUAUUAGUAAACAAGUUAAUUUGGAAAAUGUUG
Long non-coding RNA from Rhinopithecus roxellana (golden snub-nosed monkey), 1176 nucleotides. RefSeq lists it as uncharacterized. The transcript has 8 exons. The record is from RefSeq and is a predicted model, not a curated record. Lineage: Eukaryota; Metazoa; Chordata; Mammalia; Primates; Cercopithecidae.